GCUGGCGGCAGGCCUAACACAUGCAAGUCGAGCGGUAGCACAGAGAGCUUGCUCUCGGGUGACGAGCGGCGGACGGGUGAGUAAUGUCUGGGAAACUGCCUGAUGGAGGGGGAUAACUACUGGAAACGGUAGCUAAUACCGCAUAAUGUCGCAAGACCAAAGUGGGGGACCUUCGGGCCUCAUGCCAUCAGAUGUGCCCAGAUGGGAUUAGCUAGUAGGUGGGGUAACGGCUCACCUAGGCGACGAUCCCUAGCUGGUCUGAGAGGAUGACCAGCCACACUGGAACUGAGACACGGUCCAGACUCCUACGGGAGGCAGCAGUGGGGAAUAUUGCACAAUGGGCGCAAGCCUGAUGCAGCCAUGCCGCGUGUGUGAAGAAGGCCUUCGGGUUGUAAAGCACUUUCAGCGGGGAGGAAGGCGUUAAGGUUAAUAACCUUGUCGAUUGACGUUACCCGCAGAAGAAGCACCGGCUAACUCCGUGCCAGCAGCCGCGGUAAUACGGAGGGUGCAAGCGUUAAUCGGAAUUACUGGGCGUAAAGCGCACGCAGGCGGUCUGUCAAGUCGGAUGUGAAAUCCCCGGGCUCAACCUGGGAACUGCAUUCGAAACUGGCAGGCUAGAGUCUUGUAGAGGGGGGUAGAAUUCCAGGUGUAGCGGUGAAAUGCGUAGAGAUCUGGAGGAAUACCGGUGGCGAAGGCGGCCCCCUGGACAAAGACUGACGCUCAGGUGCGAAAGCGUGGGGAGCAAACAGGAUUAGAUACCCUGGUAGUCCACGCCGUAAACGAUGUCGAUUUGGAGGUUGUGCCCUUGAGGCGUGGCUUCCGGAGCUAACGCGUUAAAUCGACCGCCUGGGGAGUACGGCCGCAAGGUUAAAACUCAAAUGAAUUGACGGGGGCCCGCACAAGCGGUGGAGCAUGUGGUUUAAUUCGAUGCAACGCGAAGAACCUUACCUGGUCUUGACAUCCACAGAACUUUCCAGAGAUGGAUUGGUGCCUUCGGGAACUGUGAGACAGGUGCUGCAUGGCUGUCGUCAGCUCGUGUUGUGAAAUGUUGGGUUAAGUCCCGCAACGAGCGCAACCCUUAUCCUUUGUUGCCAGCGGUUCGGCCGGGAACUCAAAGGAGACUGCCAGUGAUAAACUGGAGGAAGGUGGGGAUGACGUCAAGUCAUCAUGGCCCUUACGACCAGGGCUACACACGUGCUACAAUGGCAUAUACAAAGAGAAGCGACCUCGCGAGAGCAAGCGGACCUCAUAAAGUAUGUCGUAGUCCGGAUUGGAGUCUGCAACUCGACUCCAUGAAGUCGGAAUCGCUAGUAAUCGUAGAUCAGAAUGCUACGGUGAAUACGUUCCCGGGCCUUGUACACACCGCCCGUCACACCAUGGGAGUGGGUUGCAAAAGAAGUAGGUAGCUUAACCUUCGGGAGGGCGCUUACCACUUUGUGAUUCAUGACUGGGGUGAA
Molecule: ribosomal RNA, 1457 nt
Filed under: Klebsiella pneumoniae
Lineage: Bacteria; Pseudomonadati; Pseudomonadota; Gammaproteobacteria; Enterobacterales; Enterobacteriaceae
Description: bacterial SSU rRNA
Rfam family: Bacterial small subunit ribosomal RNA
Source: RNAcentral